Long non-coding RNA from Cydia pomonella (codling moth), 1232 nucleotides. RefSeq lists it as uncharacterized. The transcript has 2 exons. Lineage: Eukaryota; Metazoa; Arthropoda; Insecta; Lepidoptera; Tortricidae. The record is from RefSeq and is a predicted model, not a curated record.
AUGAUGUACAAGAACAGUUUCAGCAAAUGUUGUAGAUUGUUUAAGCAUUAAAAUUACGUUGAAAUUAAUUCGAUAUACACACAAAUUGUCACUUGUUUUGAAGUAAUUUUGGAGAAAAUUGAUUUCGUCUUUCAUUUACACUACUUCAAAUUUAUAAUAAUAAAAAUGUAGUUUAUUAAAGUUGAAGUACAGGAUACUCGUAUUUGUAAUACAAAAUUAACAUUUUUAGCAGUCCAAAAUUUACGAAAUUUACAAAUAAGAUCGACAAAAUCAGUGCUUUACGCGCGUUUACCUAAACGUCCAUCAGAAAAAAAUCGUUACUAAUUAAGUGACUCUGUUUAAAAAAAAAAGAUCCAUUAGAAUGAAAGAUAACAAGACGUGCUAAUAGAAACCAGUUUAUACUUUUUAUUUCUAAUAGUUAACAAAAGGUGUACAAUUUCAUCGACUAAAUCUAUCAAUUUGACAUUUUUGCAACUAAACUCGUCAACUCGAUAACGGCCUCUUUGCACUUUAAUACACUCUGACUCGGACCACUCUAACCUAUUUACAAAAAAAUAACGACAUCCAUCGUUAUGUAAUGUCAAACUUGUAGAGAAAACCUCAAAAUGCUAUUUCUUGUUUACUUAUCUACGUAUUUCCUUUGUUAUUAUUGAAUAAUUUGUGAAAAUAUAUUCGAGUCUAAGAAAAGUUGGCAACCUUACGAAAUUAGACUUUUGUAAAGAUUGCAGUGGUGAAAAUAAGACAAACAUCCAGGACAUAACAAUUGAAAUUGACAUUUCCUGCAGGAGUAACGUUGCGAAUGGAAUGUUACCUUUACAAUCACGAUGGCAAUGUGCAAGACUCGGAAAAACGCCCGUCACUUUGAAAACAACCCUGUACCGUACAACAGAGACUUUCUUUACCCAUGUCAACGUUUAAUAUGCCCCAAUGACGAUGACGUCCGUAGACUUUGAACGAACAUUACACACAAAUACACAACACAACACACUACACAUAAAUAGAUCCUACAUUAAGGCUAUGUUUUUAAAAUGACGGGUGAUUUUCCGAGCCUUGGCAAUGCUUUUUGGAACCAUCACUGCAAUGAAGAGACUUGCAGAGUAGUAUAGAGAUUCUCAGGUUUCACUAAUUACCUCUGCUGGAAGUAAUAUACGUGUUAUUUGGACUAAAAGGAUGAUUAAUUGUGUUCAUUUAAGUAGUAGAAAGAAUAAUAAAUUAGCUUACCAAAACAAAAA